CAAUCAGCUGCAGCUGCUUUCAUUUUUAAAUGGCACGUCUCUCCAUGCUCGUACUGAGAAGACUGAUGUGCCUCAUGAUGAUGGCAAUGAGUCUAUUAUGCAAUGUAGUUUACACAUGAUGUGUGUCAGAGCCGAACCCAAGCCGGAUUAAUCUGUGGGACUUGGAUUUAUACUCUAGCGGAACUGGAAAAGAAUUGAUACCCCGCUCCGGGUCCACGCAGGAAAUCCUUGUGCUGCUACAGGAACAGGAGGACGGACAUGCCUCCGCGGACAUCCAGGGAUCCCCCGAGCCCACUGCCACCCCGAUCACCAUCACCCACCACCAACAUGACCACCAGCAACACCGCCACGACCCAGACCCUCUCCACGGCGAGAAGAGAGCCCCGCUCCCGGGUGUCCAGGCGCUCAUCUCGGGUGCCAACUUCAGCUAUAAGGCUCGCUGAACAGCCCCACGGCCACGGCUCAGGGUGGCUGGGAUCAGCCCCGGUUCAGCCAAUCAAGGAGGGAAAGAGAAUCAAGUAAAGAAUCCGAUGGUGAGGCGGUCAGACAGGCGGUGGGAUUAGAAAACCAUCGGCCGUGACAACACUGACAGACAAGGCAGCGAAAAACCGGAGAGUGUGUCGAUCCGUCCCGGUGUGUCUCCUCCAGAAUCCCCCGUCAGUCAGCCAGUCAGUCAAAAUCACACUAAGACACUGACGGGUGUGUUCCAAGGAGGAUCUCUCUCUCUCUCUCUCUCUCUCUCUCUCUCUCUCUCUCUCUCUCUCUCUCUCUCUCUCUCUCAGUGUGGAUGAGACGGGUGGUGGUGGACGUGGUGGUGUUGGGUGGGUGUGAGGAUGAUACAGAAUAAAUGGGAGGAUGGGAGAGCCACAUUCUGCUGUUCCCUCUUGCGGAUGGAUGAAGGCUACAAUGUGGAUACCAGAAUCGAAGCAGACUAUGUAUAAAGUGAUAGCUCAUUAACGCACCCCCCUUCCCCCUUAAUGCCACUUUGCUCUGCUUACACAAUGGUCUGGGGGAAGGAUCAGAUGCAGGGCAGAGUGGUAUCACCCCCAAGGGUACCUCGACACAGCGGCAUGAUUUGUGUUGUCAGGUGAAUUGUCUGCUUUACCUCUAGAUCUGUCAGGAGGUUAAAGUUCAGCACACUCUAGGAGGGGCUACUCAAGCCUCAUCUAAGUUGUGAACGAGGUUGGACAGUAUAAGCGCCCUUGUCUGACGCCCAGAGACAUGCAGAGAGAUGUAAGGGGAGGAGAGGUGGAGGAGACUCCUGCUUUAAAGAGGUUAUUUAAUUUAUCUGCUUGCUGGUUUCACAUAAUGUGUGUAAAUGAGAUAUAAGGGGCUAUCAAUUUACGGGCUCUAAUUGCCAUAAUCAUCCUCAUCAUCACCGUCGUCGUCAUUAUAAUCAUCAUUAUCAUCUGGUUGCUAUGCUGGGUGUAGACCUGUGUACAGUUAAUCAAUGAGGAACAAGACUUUAUGAAGGUGCCUUUUAUUCUGAAAGGAAGCCAUAUUUCCAGUCUUUUACUCAGAAAUAUUCAGAUAACAUGGGAAAAUAAUGCAAAUUACAUCCUUCCUUUUGUAACAAACUGCCAUGUUUUAAUAACAUUUGAUUAUCCUAUUUUUAAUGCCAAAAGGGCUGAUAGGUGAUUUGACUUAAAAGGUAGCUGUAAUGUCCAAAGCAUGGCAUGAAAACAGACUCGCAGAGAAAGAGGGUGCCACCACCAAUCAUCAAGUCUUUAGCCCGCUUGUACUAGACCAAGCGACACCUUAUUAAACCAUUAGGCCAUAUUUCAUAAUCAUAAGGGGCUCUCAGCCAAAGCAGACCUGAAUCAAUAAUGUGUCAUCUCAGAGUGGAGGCUGCAUGCCAGUCACCGUGCCGCUAUAGAUUUCAUACUCCUGGAUGUAUGUCUUACACAAGAGAUGUGUCUUUAACACUGCACAUCCAUUGAAGAACAAAGGUCCUUCUUAUCCAUCUUUCACCUUGCAAGUGAGAGACAGAGGGUGACAGCACAUCUGCCUGUGAGCGGUGACAACAUGCCACAGCUGUGAGGAGUAUCUCCUCUUGUCUCCUCUCCUCUCCUAUCCUCUCCUCUUCUCUCCUCUCCUCUCCUCUCCUCUCCUCUCCUCUCCUCUCCUCUCCAAUGUCCUGUCCCCAUGUGCAGCUCUAAUGUGACGUUUGCUCUGACGCACGGGCAGUGCUGCUGAAUAGAGGAGUGUAAUUAUGGAGCUCUGUCUGUGUCGGAACCAAUCUGGUGGAUGCCUGCCUCAAAAACAGUGGUGUGCACACUGCACAGCACAGCGUGGGUGUGCCAAUUAAAACAUUGUCUUGAAAACAUAGUAUUCUAAUUACGCUCUGGUCCCCCAGAAAGUGACAGAGGUUGUAGCCUGUGUUACAGGUUUGACAUUUGUAACACGUAAUCACCCCCUUUGAGUCGACUGUCAGCCACAGACAAGGCAUCACUCAGGAUGUAUCUAAUUCAACAUUGUGAGCAUAUUAUGGUAUGUCAGGCAUACUUAGCCUCCUUUGCAAUGUGUGCAGCAUGUCUAAUGUGUUAAUUUCAGGUCUUUAUACUGUACAUACAUACAAUAGAUGCUGUCACUGACAAGAUCCUAACAUACGAAUGACAUCCAUACUGAGGCGGUGGACCACUAUUAUUUCAUUUUAACUGACAUAUCCACCCAAUUCGCUUGUCAGUCAGCAUGUAAAUCUGACUGACAAGGAAAUGUUCCCUUUAUUUUCCUUUAAAGUUCAAAACUCGAAGUGACAUUUUACUCUGAAAUCUUUUCCUGAGGUUGUGUGAAAACUGUUCCUUCAUAUCUGAUAAAACCUGAUAUUUAUACAAUGUGUGCUGUCUUCACAAUUAACUCAAGGGUCAUCACACUAGAAAUUCAUCUGCCAAUCAACUCCAAGUAGGUAAUGUUUUUUGUUUAGUUUGCAUAUUAUGUUGCAUUAUUGCAGAAAUUACCAUCAGAAUAACAACAGUCACAAAGACCAAGAUCUUACAGUUGCAAUUAUGAAAGCUAUACAUUUCUUGCAUUUCUAUUUAUUAAAAGUUAUUUAUCUCA
Long non-coding RNA from Notolabrus celidotus (New Zealand spotty), 3057 nucleotides. RefSeq lists it as uncharacterized. Lineage: Eukaryota; Metazoa; Chordata; Actinopteri; Labriformes; Labridae. The transcript has 2 exons. The record is from RefSeq and is a predicted model, not a curated record.